This 253-nucleotide ribosomal RNA is filed under the name uncultured bacterium. RNAcentral's name for it is "partial 16S ribosomal RNA". It matches the Rfam family "Bacterial small subunit ribosomal RNA", at positions 524 to 776 of the family's 1533-position model. The record is from RNAcentral.
UACGUAGGGUGCAGGCGUUAAUCGGAAUUACUGGGCGUAAAGCGUGCGCAGGCGGUCUUUUAAGUCAGAUGUGAGAUCCCCGGGCUUAACCUGGGAACUGCGUUUGAAACUGGAAGGUUUGAGUGUGGCAGAGGGGGGUGGAAUUCCACGUGUAGCAGUGAAAUGCGUAGAGAUGUGGAGGAACACCGGUGGCGAAGGCAGCCCCCUGGGCUAACACUGACGCUCAUGCACGAAAGCGUGGGGAGCAAACAGG